RNAcentral lists this ribosomal RNA (763 nucleotides) under uncultured bacterium. RNAcentral describes it as "bacterial SSU rRNA". It matches the Rfam family "Bacterial small subunit ribosomal RNA", at positions 8 to 780 of the family's 1533-position model. The record is from RNAcentral.
AGAGUUUGAUCCUGGCUCAGGACGAACGUUGGCGGUGCGCUUAAUGCAUGCAAGUCGAGGGAGAAGCAGUUGUUCCGUAAGGUUCGACUGUGGAAACCGGCGAACGGGUGCGUAACACGUGAGAAACCUGCCCCCCAGACCGGGAUAGCCCAGGGAAACUUGGAUUAAUACCGGAUAUUCUCUUUGGAUCGCAUGAUCCUUUGAGGAAAUGGUCCGCUGCUGGGGGAUGGUCUCGCGGCCUAUCAGGUAGUUGGUGAGGUAAUGGCUCACCAAGCCUAAGACGGGUAGCUGGUCUGAGAGGACGAUCAGCCACACUGGAACUGAGACACGGUCCAGACUCCUACGGGAGGCAGCAGCAGGGAAUAUUGCACAAUGGGCGAAAGCCUGAUGCAGCGACACCGCGUGCGGGAUGACGGCCUUAGGGUUGUAAACCGCUUUCGGGAGGGAAGAAAAUGACGGUACCUCCUAAAGAAGCUCCGGCCAACUACGUGCCAGCAGCCGCGGUAAUACGUAGGGAGCAAACGUUGUCCGGAUUUAUUGGGCGUAAAGGGCUCGUAGGCGGUUCAACAAGUCGGUCGUGAAAGCCCGGGGCUCAACCCCGGGAUGCCGGUCGAAACUGUUGUGACUAGAGUUCGGUAGAGGUGAGUGGAAUUCCCGGGGUAGCGGUGGAAUGCGCAGAUNUCGAGAGGAACACCAUUUAGCGAAGCGGCUCACUGGGNCGAUCUGACNCUGAGGACGAAAGCGUGGGGAGCAAAAGGAUUUA